GUGCUUGCUUUGGCAGCCCAUAUACUAAAAUUGGCACAAUACAAAGAAGACUUGCACUGCUCCUGGGCAAGAAUGACACGCAAAGUCUUGAAGCAGUCCAUGUUUUU
Small nuclear RNA from Nannospalax galili (Upper Galilee mountains blind mole rat), 107 nucleotides. The record is from Ensembl. Lineage: Eukaryota; Metazoa; Chordata; Mammalia; Rodentia; Spalacidae.